Molecule: ribosomal RNA, 253 nt
Filed under: uncultured bacterium
Lineage: Bacteria
Description: partial 16S ribosomal RNA
Rfam family: Bacterial small subunit ribosomal RNA
Source: RNAcentral
GACAGAGGGUGCAAACGUUGCUCGGAAUCACUGGGCGUAAAGGGCGUGUAGGCGGGAAGGGAAGUCAGAUGUGAAAUCCCUGGGCUCAACCCAGGAACUGCAUUUGAAACUCCCUUUCUUGAGUGUCGGAGAGGAAAGUGGAAUUCCUGGUGUAGAGGUGAAAUUCGUAGAUAUCAGGAGGAACACCGGUGGCGAAGGCGGCUUUCUGGACGACAACUGACGCUGAGACGCGAAAGCGUGGGGAGCAAACAGG